UUUAUACCACAGGCUGGACAGUCCAUGUCCUUACAACAGGCUGGACAGUCCAUGUCCUUACAACAGCAUGUAGAAUGGAUAUUAUCCCCAUACGUCUUAUUACCUGUUCUGUCUGGAUGUAACAGGCUGCCUAGUAAAUUACAUGUCUUUGGCCCCAUUACACUAAAACCUUUAAGCACAAUGUUGUCCUCAACCAUGUAAUUUACAAGAACAAAAUAUUCAAACCGUUCUGAAUAUGAGCUCCACUGCUCAAUGGUUCCAUCAAACUGUCCAAUGUUUCCAUCAAACUGUCCAAUGGUUCCAUCAAACUGUCCAAUGUUUCCAACAAUUAGAGACAUUUAUCAUUUCUCAAUAGGCUCCUGUGUCACGUUCUGACAUUAGUUAUUUUAUUAUGUCUUUGGUUUAGUAUGGUCAGGGCGUGAGUUGGGUGGGUAGUCUAUGUUCUUUUUUUCUAUGUUGUAUUUCUGUGUUUGGCCUGGUAUGGUUCUCAAUCAGAGGCAGCUGUCAAUCGUUGUCCCUGAUUGAGAAUCAUACUGAGGUAGCCUGGUUUCACUGUUGAGUGGUGGGUGGUUGUUUUCAGUCUUUGUGUGUCUGCACCAGACAGAACUGUUCCGGUUGUUUCUUUGUUGUUUGUUAUUCAUUUUUUCCAUUAAUGAAGAUGAACACUUCCCACGCUGCGCUUUGGUCCUCACCUUCUUACACCGACGACGGCCGUUACAUCCUGAUUGUCAUUCACUUUAGCAUUGUCCUCCACCACAGCAAUAUUUUCCUCAGUCAUGUAAACUUCAUUAAUUUCACUCAUUUAGCAGUUUUUAAUUCCAAAGUUUGUCUUCACAGUUGAAUAAACAUCCUUUCCUUUAAUCAAGAUGUAUUCCUCCCUUUCUAAUCAAGUUGUUUUUCCGCUCCGACAUCCGUCUCGGGUCCUUUUCUGCCCUUCAUGACGAUGAUAACUCUCUCUGUUAGCUCCACUUCCCUCCAUGAUGAUGUUAACUCUCUCUGUUAGCUCCACUUCCCUCCAUGAUGAUGUUAACUCUCUCUGUUAGCUCCACUUCCCUCCAUGAUGAUGUUAACUCUCUCUGUUAGCUCCACUUCCCUUCAUGAUGAUGUUAACUCUCUCUGUUAGCUCCACUUCCCUCCAUGAUGAUGUUAACUCUCUCUGUUAGCUCCACUUCCCUCCAUGAUGAUGAUAACUCUCUCUGUUAGCUCCACUUCCCUCCAUGAUGAUGUUAACUCUCUCUGUUAGCUCCACUUCCCUCCAUGAUGAUGUUAACUCUCUGUUAGCUCCACUUCCCUCCAUGAUGAUGAUAACUCUCUCUGUUAGCUCCACUUCCCUCCAUGAUGAUGUUAACUCUCUCUGUUAGCUCCACUUCCCUUCAUGAUGAUGAUAACUCUCUCUGUUAGCUCCACUUCCCUUCAUGAUGAUGAUAACUCUCUCUGUUAGCUCCACUUCCCUUCAUGAUGAUGAUAACUCUCUCUGUUAGCUCCACUUCCCUCCAUGAUGAUGAUAACUCUCUCUGUUAGCUCCACUUCCCUUCAUGAUGAUGAUAACUCUCUCUGUUAGCUCCACUUCCCUCCAUGAUGAUGAUAACUCUCUCUGUUAGCUCCACUUCCCUCCAUGAUGAUGUUAACUCUCUCUGUUAGCUCCACUUCCCUUCAUGAUGAUGUUA
Long non-coding RNA from Oncorhynchus tshawytscha (Chinook salmon), 1667 nucleotides. NCBI's taxonomy places the organism in Eukaryota, Metazoa, Chordata, Actinopteri, Salmoniformes, Salmonidae. The record is from Ensembl.